AAGGCUGAGGCGUGAUGACGAGGCACUACGGUGCUGAAGCAACAAAUGCCCUGCUUCCAGGAAAAGCCUCUAAGCAUCAGGUAACAUCAAAUCGUACCCCAAACCGACACAGGUGGUCAGGUAGAGAAUACCAAGGCGCUUGAGAGAACUCGGGUGAAGGAACUAGGCAAAAUGGUGCCGUAACUUCGGGAGAAGGCACGCUGACACGUAGGUGAAGUGAUUUACUCAUGGAGCUGAAGUCAGUCGAAGAUACCAGCUGGCUGCAACUGUUUAUUAAAAACACAGCACUGUGCAAACACGAAAGUGGACGUAUACGGUGUGACGCCUGCCCGGUGCCGGAAGGUUAAUUGAUGGGGUCAGCGCAAGCGAAGCUCCUGAUCGAAGCCCCGGUAAACGGCGGCCGUAACUAUAACGGUCCUAAGGUAGCGAAAUUCCUUGUCGGGUAAGUUCCGACCUGCACGAAUGGCGUAAUGAUGGCCAGGCUGUCUCCACCCGAGACUCAGUGAAAUUGAACUCGCUGUGAAGAUGCAGUGUACCCGCGGCAAGACGGAAAGACCCCGUGAACCUUUACUAUAGCUUGACACUGAACAUUGAGCCUUGAUGUGUAGGAUAGGUGGGAGGCUUUGAAGUGUGGACGCCAGUCUGCAUGGAGCCGACCUUGAAAUACCACCCUUUAAUGUUUGAUGUUCUAACGUGGACCCGUUACCCGGGUUGCGGACAGUGUCUGGUGGGUAGUUUGACUGGGGCGGUCUCCUCCUAAAGAGUAACGGAGGAGCACGAAGGUUGGCUAAUCCUGGUCGGACAUCAGGAGGUUAGUGCAAUGGCAUAAGCCAGCUUGACUGCGAGCGUGACGGCGCGAGCAGGUGCGAAAGCAGGUCAUAGUGAUCCGGUGGUUCUGAAUGGAAGGGCCAUCGCUCAACGGAUAAAAGGUACUCCGGGGAUAACAGGCUGAUACCGCCCAAGAGUUCAUAUCGACGGCGGUGUUUGGCACCUCGAUGUCGGCUCAUCACAUCCUGGGGCUGAAGUAGGUCCCAAGGGUAUGGCUGUUCGCCAUUUAAAGUGGUACGCGAGCUGGGUUUAGAACGUCGUGAGACAGUUCGGUCCCUAUCUGCCGUGGGCGCUGGAGAACUGAGGGGGGCUGCUCCUAGUACGAGAGGACCGGAGUGGACGCAUCACUGGUGUUCGGGUUGUCAUGCCAAUGGCACUGCCCGGUAGCUAAAUGCGGAAGAGAUAAGUGCUGAAAGCAUCUAAGCACGAAACUUGCCCCGAGAUGAGUUCUCCCUGAGACUUAGAGUCUCCUGAAGGAACGUUGAAGACGACGACGUUGAUAGGCCGGGUGUGUAAGCGCAGCGAUGCGUUGAGCUAACCGGUACUAAUGAACCGUGAGGCUUAACCUUACAACGCCG
RNAcentral lists this ribosomal RNA (1406 nucleotides) under Salmonella enterica subsp. enterica serovar Enteritidis. RNAcentral's name for it is "partial 23S ribosomal RNA". It matches the Rfam family "Bacterial large subunit ribosomal RNA", at positions 1552 to 2925 of the family's 2925-position model. The record is from RNAcentral. Lineage: Bacteria; Pseudomonadati; Pseudomonadota; Gammaproteobacteria; Enterobacterales; Enterobacteriaceae.